UUUCUUUCUUUCUUUCUUUCUUUUUUCUUUUUCUUUCUUUCUUCUUUCUUUCUUUCUUUCUUUCUUUCUUUCUUUCUUUCUUUCUUUCUUUUUCUUUCUUUCUUCUCCUUCCUUCCUUCCUUCCUUCCUUCCUUCCUUCCUUCCUUCCUUCUUUCUUUUAAAGAUUUUAUUUAUUUAUUUAUGAGAGACAGAGAGAGAGAGAGAGAGGCAGAGACAUAGGCAGAGGGAGAAGCAGACUUCCUGCAGGGAUCCUGUUGUGGGACUCAAUCCCAGGACCCCAAGAUCACAACCUGAGCUGAAGGCAGACACUCAACCAUUGAGCCACCCAGGAAUCCCACAUAGGAAUUUCUUAAUCAUCUUAAUAAGGGUUUCUGAAGUUCAGAACCAACGCAAGCAUCCUAUUAUUUGUCGUUUCUAGGAAAUCACGGGAUAAAACACAAUUAGAAGAUCCUUAGCUCUAAACUAAUAUUGUUAAUGCCAUCUACAUUUUGAUCUUUCUGUUUCUAUGUGUAUAAUAACGUACCAGAUCAGGGUUUCUAAAAAUGUCAUAUGAGCAACAGAAAACCAAACUGGACACUCUAGGGGAUCCAUUUGAAUCCCCUGAGAAGCUAAGGGACCCACAACCUCAAGAAAUGAAGAGUAGAAAUACAGGCUAUCUGGCCUGUUACUUGACUGAGGCGAAGGAUGAACCUAGGUGAAAAAUAAAAUGGUGAGGGAAAUUUUAAAUCCGCUAUUAAUAAGACAAAAAAUAGACAUUGGGCUUUUAAAGUUUAAUUAAGACCUUGGCAAAGAGCUGUUAUUUUAUACAGUAGAUAAAGAAAAAUUAAGUAGAAAUUGUUAGCCAUAAAAUCGGUAUGUCUAAAUGAUAUUUAUGGACUUUUCUAAUUUAUUAAAUCAUUUCUACUUAAUUUCAAGCAAAAUGAAAGAUGAGAGGGAUCUGUGGGUGAGAAGAAGAAACAGUGUUGUUUCCUGGUAAUUCUCAUCAUUACUUAUUCUUGUCCCUUCAGGAAUUAAGCUGCAAAAGUAGGGCAGAACCAGAAAAAUGUAUGAAAGCAAUGUGGAAUUUUUGAGGUAUGUUCCUAUGAAUGCAAUACUUUAAAGUGUAGGAGAGAUUAA
RNAcentral lists this long non-coding RNA (1116 nucleotides) under Canis lupus familiaris (dog). RNAcentral describes it as "lncRNA (ENSCAFG00845003389.1)". Lineage: Eukaryota; Metazoa; Chordata; Mammalia; Carnivora; Canidae. The record is from RNAcentral.